CCCCGACUCAUCGGCUGGCUUAGCCUUGGUGCACCACAGCGCAACGCGCUCCCUCAUUGCUGCAGUAUUACAACACAUCCGAACCCACAAACCGACCCUUUUUAUCUAGAGCCCAGCGCCAUUAUAGACAGACCGAGCCCCUUCCGGCGCCGAAGGUGAUAUAUCGCAAGUUGCCAGGACCAGAGUGGAGC
Mauremys mutica (yellowpond turtle) is the source of this 191-nucleotide long non-coding RNA. RefSeq lists it as uncharacterized. The transcript has 3 exons. The record is from RefSeq and is a predicted model, not a curated record. Lineage: Eukaryota; Metazoa; Chordata; Testudines; Geoemydidae.